RNAcentral lists this ribosomal RNA (512 nucleotides) under uncultured bacterium. RNAcentral describes it as "partial 16S ribosomal RNA". It matches the Rfam family "Bacterial small subunit ribosomal RNA", at positions 28 to 523 of the family's 1533-position model. The record is from RNAcentral.
GAUGAACGCUGGCGGCAUGCCUAAUACAUGCAAGUCGAACGAGAGGAAGGAAAGCUUGCUUUCCUGAAUCUAGUGGCGAACGGGUGAGUAACACGUAGGUAACCUGCCCAUGUGCCCGGGAUAACUUCUGGAAACGGAUGCUAAAACCGGAUAGGUAGCAGACAAGCAUUUGACUGCUAUUAAAGUGGCCUUGGCCAUGAACAUGGAUGGACCUGCGGUGCAUUAGCUAGUUGGUGAGGUAACGGCCCACCAAGGCGACGAUGCAUAGCCGGCCUGAGAGGGCGGACGGCCACAUUGGGACUGAGACACGGCCCAAACUCCUACGGGAGGCAGCAGUAGGGAAUUUUCGUCAAUGGGGGGAACCCUGAACGAGCAAUGCCGCGUGAGUGAGGAAGGUCUUCGGAUCGUAAAGCUCUGUUGUAAGAGAAAAACGGCACUCAUAGGGAAUGAUGAGUGAGUGAUGGUAUCUUACCAGAAAGUCACGGCUAACUACGUGCCAGCCGCCGCGGUAA